CGCCUUGCCAGCCCGCUCAGAAACUACAAAGGAAUUGACGGGGCCCGCACAAGCGGAGGAACAUGUGGUUUAAUUCGAUGAUACGCGAGGAACCUUACCUGGGCUAGAACGCAUUCGGAAUCAGGCCGAAAGGCCUGCGCCAGCGAUGGCCGCUUGCGAGGUGCUGCAUGGUUGUCGUCAGCUCGUGCCGUGAGGUGUCGGGUUAAGUCCCAUAACGAGCGCAACCCCUACUGCUAGUUGCCAGCGGGUCAUGCCGGGGACUCUAGCGGAACUGCCAGCGUAAGCUGCGAGGAAGGUGGGGAUGACGUCAAAUCAGCACGGCCCUUACGUCCAGGGCUACACACGUGUUACAAUGGCCGGUACAGAGGGCAGCCACCCCGCGAGGGGGCGCGAAUCCCGAAAGCCGGUCCCAGUUCGGAUCGGAGUCUGCAACCCGACUCCGUGAAGCUGGAUUCGCUAGUAAUCGCGCAUCAGCCACGGCGCGGUGAAUACGUUCCCGGGCCUU
RNAcentral lists this ribosomal RNA (505 nucleotides) under uncultured Rikenellaceae bacterium. RNAcentral's name for it is "bacterial SSU rRNA". It matches the Rfam family "Bacterial small subunit ribosomal RNA", at positions 903 to 1382 of the family's 1533-position model. The record is from RNAcentral. Lineage: Bacteria; Pseudomonadati; Bacteroidota; Bacteroidia; Bacteroidales; Rikenellaceae.